CCUACGGGAGGCAGCAGUGGGGAAUAUUGCACAAUGGGGGAAACCCUGAUGCAGCGACGCCGCGUGAGUGAAGAAGUAUUUCGGUAUGUAAAGCUCUAUCAGCAGGGAAGAAAAUGACGGUACCUGAUGAAGAAGCCCCGGCUAACUACGUGCCAGCAGCCGCGGUAAUACGUAGGGGGCAAGCGUUAUCCGGAUUUACUGGGUGUAAAGGGAGCGUAGACGGCAGCACAAGUCUGGAGUGAAAUGCCGGGGCUUAACCCCGGAACUGCUUUGGAAACUGUGCAGCUAGAGUGCAGGAGAGGUAAGCGGAAUUCCUAGUGUAGCGGUGAAAUGCGUAGAUAUUAGGAGGAACACCAGUGGCGAAGGCGGCUUACUGGAGUGGAACUGACGUUGAGGCUCGAAAGCGUGGGGAGCAAACAGGAUUAGAUACCCUGGUAGUC
This 440-nucleotide ribosomal RNA is filed under the name uncultured bacterium. RNAcentral describes it as "partial 16S ribosomal RNA". It matches the Rfam family "Bacterial small subunit ribosomal RNA", at positions 338 to 795 of the family's 1533-position model. The record is from RNAcentral.